This 66-nucleotide transfer RNA is filed under the name Unio crassus. Its description in RNAcentral is "tRNA-Pro". The record is from RNAcentral. Lineage: Eukaryota; Metazoa; Mollusca; Bivalvia; Unionida; Unionidae.
CCAAAAAAUAGUUUAACAAAAACAAAAGCUUUGGAAGCUUUAAUUUUACAUAAGUAAUUUUUUGAG